UUCAGAGUAAAUUUCCUUAUUAGGCUGCGUUUCCAAGAAAAUUCCAGUCGAAAUCUCUGUAUCUGCCGAGAUUCUUGACUGUUCCUCCACUACAGACUCGACCUCGAAAGGCUUAACCUAACGGAAACCCGAACUCUCGGGGACUCUGUUCCGGUGAAUUCUGAAUUGGCGAGUUUUAUAUAUAUUUAAGCUGACGUGUUUCGAAGAAGAACCAAUGGAGUUUCCUGGAGGUGAAGGUAAAUUGACAAAAAGUUGGUGCUCUUGACGAAGCAACUUCAUUCCGUGGACAACUGAUUGGAAUAUUCUGAUGCUACAGUAACAGUGGAAGCCAAUGAAUUGCAAGAGAGACGGUGCAGUCUGGAGUGCAGGUCCAAGGCUAGAUCACCAGGGAAAGUGGACAAAGGAAUGGCACAUGGACUUUAACUCAGGCACGUGCGAAAUGACAAGGGCAAGGACCAUGAUUUGAGCUGAAUUUGUAUGUGCUCAAAUUUAAUUGGUCAGGGCACUUGAAAACCAAGAAUUCCCUCUAUGUAUAAGGUUCUGUAAAGUUUAACCAAUAAACAAACGUAAAGCUGAGGAGAAAGCUGAUAAUGUCCAGAAAAGUUUGGCCUUAAAAGAACAGAUUCUCAGCAGCAAAAGCACUACAGUGAGGAAGAGAUGAUCUGGUACAUACAAGCACAAAUUGAUUGUUCAUGGAUUGAUCACUGGGGCAGCCCAGUGGGGCAUGCGAAUUUAAGCUUGUAACAUCGAAAGAGGGAACACUGAAGGUAGCAGUAUCUGCCACUACAUUGCUAUUGCAAUCUCUUAAUUCAAGUAAAGGCAAAAUGUUGGAAGAAAUUCCAGCCUGUCAUCACUUAUUAAAUCCCUGGCUUGGACUCUUCUACCACUGAUGUUACAGUUGUUGAAGAAGAAGAAGAAGAAUAGCCCUUAACUCGGCAGUGGAGUUAUUGGGGCACCUUCUUUUGACGGUGUUUCCGUAGCAAGCUAUUAUUGUUUUUAUGAGGCUGAGUUGCUAGCUCGAUGCUCAACCCGACUUGGAUUCGAACUUGGGAACCUUCGCUCCGGAGUCCGGCGCUGAUACUAUUGCGCCAGCAGGCAGGACUCAGUUACAGUUGAUGGAUCAUCACUUUGUUGUGGUAGCAAGGCUCGUGAGUUCCUGAGAGUCCAAGAGUGACGCCCUCUGGAGUUUAGCCAUCUGAUGCUCAGCUCCUGGCAGGGUCAACCAUGGCGGUAUCAUCAAAGGAGAGUUUCCAGACAAAGACUGAUCCAACCGAGACCUCAGUGGUGGAGCUGGUGAUAGCUGAUGACACACCACAUCGACAGUGAAGGUGGAGGAAGGCUGCAGCAAAGGAAGGUCCCCAGUCAUCUUGCAUUCCAGGCCACUGGACCCCGACUCCAAUCUGUCAAGGGCUGUGUGGUGGCUGCCCGUGCAUUAGCCUCCCCUACGUUAAACAAAGUCAUGCACAGGCAUUCUCCAUGAAGGGAAUCCACCUUCUUGCCAGCUCAGAGACUGGGAUGUAUCAAAUGGUACAUUAUGAACUCUAUUAUUAAUACCAGUGUUCUUGACCCUUUAGAAAUUAAAAUCAAUCAAAAAAUAGUAUUAACUAUAUUAGGGAUCUAGUAUAAAAUCCCAGGUAAAUUAUUAAAAUUCUGACAAUUCAUUUGGUAUAGAUUACGUUGGCUAGAAGUUAUCGAUAAAACUACAAUGAUGGCUUAAAACUUUUGCAGACAAUAUUAAAUACUACAAAUGUGAGAAUAAAGACU
This is a long non-coding RNA of Mobula hypostoma (lesser devil ray), 1764 nucleotides long. RefSeq lists it as uncharacterized. Lineage: Eukaryota; Metazoa; Chordata; Chondrichthyes; Myliobatiformes; Myliobatidae. The transcript has 5 exons. The record is from RefSeq and is a predicted model, not a curated record.